This 446-nucleotide long non-coding RNA is filed under the name Heterocephalus glaber (naked mole-rat). RNAcentral describes it as "lncRNA (ENSHGLG00100043855.1)". Lineage: Eukaryota; Metazoa; Chordata; Mammalia; Rodentia; Bathyergidae. The record is from RNAcentral.
UUCUGGAAGCCUGGGGUGCUGGUGGGGGCCGGGACUCAGGUAUUAAACACCUCAUGCUGCAUAAAGCCCAAUGACUGGUGAAGUAAGAACAACACAAUUUCCAGAACCCCCUCUGAAUUUCCUCCUCUCCUCGCUACUUCCUGCAUGAGACUGAACAUCGCCUGACACAGAGAGUGCGAUAUUCUCCCUCAGGAGAAACACUUUUUUAUUCUCCUACAUCAGCAUAGAACAAGUAACUGGUCUCACACGUAUAAACUGGAUGGGCUGGUGAAGCACAUGGAUCCCAAGGCCACUUCCGCUGACAUCCUGAAAUGAUGGUCAAAUGUAACUUCCUCCUGGAAGCUCCUCCUUGGAUCUGUACAAGCUGGAUCCCAGAUCUCUUCAGCACCCUGACUGAUAUCGCAUCUCAGGUGAUGUCUCAGGCAGACCACGAGAGAGACCAACCG